Long non-coding RNA from Cucurbita moschata (crookneck pumpkin), 230 nucleotides. RefSeq lists it as uncharacterized. The transcript has 4 exons. Lineage: Eukaryota; Viridiplantae; Streptophyta; Magnoliopsida; Cucurbitales; Cucurbitaceae. The record is from RefSeq and is a predicted model, not a curated record.
UGGGCUGUAUAGGUAGAAGAUGGAGAUCUAUAAAGUUGUAGUGGAAGUCGGGACGAAAUACGGGCUGUAGAGGUGGAAUAUGGCUUCGGGACAUAAUCGGUAUUAAUAGGAAAGUUGGGAAAAUUGCAGAAAACAUAGGAAGAAGAAGGAGCGCAUGCACUACACGCAGGGCGCGUGAGGAGCCGCGACUGGGCGUGCGACUGGGAGUUCUCCUGGCGCGUGGGACAAAC